GCCGAAGUGGCGGAAUUGGUAGACGCGCCAGCUUCAGGUGCUGGUGAGCCUUGGCUCGUGGAGGUUCAAGUCCUCUCUUCGGCACCA
This 87-nucleotide transfer RNA is filed under the name Pseudomonadota bacterium. RNAcentral's name for it is "Proteobacteria bacterium tRNA-Leu". It matches the Rfam family "tRNA". Rfam says of the family: Transfer RNA (tRNA) molecules are approximately 80 nucleotides in length. Their secondary structure includes four short double-helical elements and three loops (D, anti-codon, and T loops). Lineage: Bacteria; Pseudomonadati; Pseudomonadota. The record is from RNAcentral.